CAUUCUCGCGACGAAUCUUUUUGAUCGGACCGAAACUGGACCGUGACCGGAGCGAGACUGGCACUGUAGUGUGAAUAGGUAGCGAUCAAGCAACGAUCAACAUUCCUUCGUUCAGACCAACUAGAAAUGAAAGAAAAAUGACCGAAGCAUGACCGAAGCAUGAACGUUGCUUGAACGAUAGUGUGAAUACUCAAUCUUUUGAUCGGACCGUUACCGGACCGUGACUGGACCUUGACUGGCACUAUAGUGUGAAUCAGGCUUUACUGACCACGUAACCUCCGAGGUCUUUGACAUUUGGAAAUGGAAAUCGAGGAUCUGUGAGUGACUACAAAAUACAUUACAGCAUAUAACACAUUAUGUUAUGACAUAUGGUUUCAAGAAAUGUAUCGAGAUUUCACCUAAUCUACGCAGUAUUGAUAAAGGCGUUCAAAGUUCAUCUGGUUUCAAAAACUCUUCCAUGAGAUAGGUAGGUAGGUAGGUACUUAGGUAGGUAAGUGUACUGCAUAGGUACCUGCCUAUAUUGCAUAAGUAUUACUGAAGAUAAUCGUAGAAUCGAGUUGAAUCGGGUAUAAUAUUACAUAACUAUAAUAUUCAACUGAUGGCCGAAACGACCUCAACCUAUUCUCAAACUUUAAAUGGGUGAGAACCCCGGCUUGCUCGAGAUGUUUGAAGCCGCGGGCCUUGGAUCACUUGAGUGCCAAGUGGGCCAAUUUUGGUAAGCAGAACUGGCGCUGUGGGAUGAACCAAACGCCGAGCUACGGCGACUAAAUCGACGCUCAUUGGAGACCAGAAAAGGCGUUGGUUGCUACCGACAGCAGGGCGGUGGCCAUGGAAGUCGGACAUCCGCUAAGGAGUGUGUAACAACUCACCUGCCGAAGCAACUAGCCCUGAAAAUGGAUGCCGCUGAAGCGUCGUGCCUAUGCUCGGCCGUCAGUGGCAGAGUGGGCUGUCCGGUACGCGUACCGGCCCGGCAGACCCGGUAAGCCCUGACGAGUAGGAGGGCGCAGUGGUGUGCGCAGAAGGGACCGAGCCGUAAGGCCGCCUGGAGCCGCCACUGGUGCAGAUCUUGGUGGUAGUAGCAAAUACUCGAGUGAGAGCCCUGGAGGGCUGAUGUGGAGAAGGGUUCCUUGUGAACAGCCGUUGCACAAGGCUCAGUCGAUCCUAAGUCCUCGCCAAACAGCGAUGCUAUAAGCAGUGGUUCGUGUUGAUUUUGUGUUGUACUACUGGUCUACCAAUAACAGACAACGAAAAUUGUAACCGCCACGGACGAAAGGGGACGCGGUCCCCAUUCCGCUACCUGGACGCGGAACCGCUCUCAUGUUUCGUGGCCCUCGUCCGACGUGUCGCCGCUUCAACGCGCGCGCACGCUCGGCGUAGGCCUCGUCGGGGUAACCCGAAAAGACCCGGAGAAGCUGAGGGGAGCUCCGGGGAGAGUUAUCUUUUCUGUAUCAGCGUUGUAGCUGCCUGGAAUCCUCUAGCAGGGAGAUAGGGAGCCGAACGCGGAGAGCACCGCAGUUGCUGCUGUGUCCGGAGCCUCCCCCUCGGACCGUGAAAAUCCGGGAGAGGGCCACGCGAAGUCUCGCGCCAGGUCGUACUCAUAUCUGCAUCAGGUCUCCGAGGUGAAGAGCCUCUAGUCGUAUAGACUAAUGUAGGUAAGGGAAGUCGGCAAAAUCGAUCCGUAACUUCGGAAUAAGGAUUGGCUCUGAGGAACGUGGUCCGUCGGGCUUGGUCGGGAAGCGGGUUAGCGCCUACGAGCCGGGCCUGUGCGAGGUGAAGUCCGGUUGCCGCGCGGCUUUCGUGCGCGCGCGCGCCCGGGCGCCUUCGGGUGUCCGGUGUGCGUGUCGUGCGGAGUCGCCGGUCGGUUUCGGAUCCGAGCACGGUCCCGUGCCUAGGCACCCCGCGGAGCUUCCUCGCUGCGAGACCCCGGGUUCUGUUGGGCGCGGGGUUCACGCCCCGCGUUCGCACCGGGCGCUUCUCUUCGGCGGCCAUGUAACGGUCAGCUCAGAACUGGCACGGACAAGGGGAAUCCGACUGUCUAAUUAAAACAAAGCAUUGCGAUUGCCCCAAAGGGUGCCUGACGCAAUGUGAUUUCUGCCCAGUGCUCUGAAUGUCAACGUGAAGACAUUCAAGCAAGCGCGGGUAAACGGCAGGAGUAACUAUGACUCUUUUAAGGUAGCCAAAUGCCUCGUCAUCUAAUUAGUGACGCGCAUGAAUGGAUUAACGAGAUUCCCAAUCUGUCCCUAUCUACUAUCUAGCGAAACCACAGCCAGGGGAACGGUCCUGGAAAAAUUAGCGGGGCAAGAAGACCCUGUUGAGCUUGACUCCAGUCUGGCCCUGUACGGAGACAUGAGAGGUGUAGAAUAAGUGGGAGACGGGGUGGCGGUUCACCGUCGGUCGAGUUCGCGCUCGGUCGGCGGUCGCGUGCCCGUCGCCGGUGAAAUACCACUACUCUCAUCGUUUCCUUACUUACUCGAUGAAGCGGAAAGCGUGUGGCUACGCUGUCGGCGGUGUCCGCGGCGGUUCGCGCGGCCGUCCCGCGCGCCGUUUCGGGCCUCCGGGUUCGGAGCGGAUCGCGCGGGCGACGCGGGGUCCGUCGGCCGGGGCCCGUCGGCUUCGCCAUCCAAUCACGGAAUUCUUGAACCGACCCGGUAAGCC
RNAcentral lists this ribosomal RNA (2655 nucleotides) under Diaphorina citri (Asian citrus psyllid). RNAcentral's name for it is "eukaryotic LSU rRNA". It matches the Rfam family "Eukaryotic large subunit ribosomal RNA", at positions 433 to 2592 of the family's 3401-position model. The record is from RNAcentral. Lineage: Eukaryota; Metazoa; Arthropoda; Insecta; Hemiptera; Psyllidae.